This is a long non-coding RNA of Oncorhynchus nerka (sockeye salmon), 873 nucleotides long. RefSeq lists it as uncharacterized. Lineage: Eukaryota; Metazoa; Chordata; Actinopteri; Salmoniformes; Salmonidae. The record is from RefSeq and is a predicted model, not a curated record. The transcript has 2 exons.
AUUAAAAUGAGUGCAUACGGGUCAUUCAACAAGUCUCAUGUCUGCUAGGAGCAAGACAGUGGAGCCCAUUGGACGUUCACAGUAAUAAUCACAACCAUAUUUUACAACUGAAAAUGUGUGUUGCUAUAACAACGCAUGCAAAUAAAACAUUUCAACGGUCACAUGUCUCUGUGUUACAGUGUGUCUAGUCCAGGUGUGUCUAGUCCAGGUGUGUCUAGUCCAGGUGUGUCUCUGUGUUACAGUGUGUCUAGUCCAGGUGUGUCUAGUCCAGGUGUGUCUAGUCCAGGUGUGUCCAGUCCAGGUGUGUCUCUGUGUUACAGUGUGUCUAGUCCAGGUGUGUCUCUGUGUUACAGUGUGUCUAGUCCAGGUGUGUCUAGUCCAGGUGUGUCUCUGUGUUACAGUGUCUAGUCCAGGUGUGUCUCUGUGUUACAGUGUGUCUAGUCCAGGUGUGUCUAGUCCAGGUGUGUCCAGUCCAGGUGUGUCUCUGUGUUACAGGUGUGUCUAGUCCAGGUGUGUCUAGUCCAGGUGUGUCUCUGUGUUACAGUGUGUCUAGUCCAGGUGUGUCUAGUCCAGGUGUGUCUCUGUGUUACAGUGUGUCUACUCCAGGUAUGUCUAGUCCAGGUGUGUCUAGUCCAGGUAUGUCUAGUCCAGGUGUGUCUAGUCCAGGUAUGUCUAGUCAAGGUGUGUCUAGUCAAGGUGUGUCUAGUCAAGGUGUGUCUAGUCAAGGUGUGUCUAGUCAAGGUGUGUCUAGUCCAGGUGUGUGUCUAGUCCAGGUGUGUUUCUGUGUGACAGUGUGUCUAGUACAGGUGAGUUUAGUCCAGGUGUGUCCAGUCCAGGUGUGUGAAGAUAAAACUUGUUGUAGACGACCCCUCU